Molecule: ribosomal RNA, 472 nt
Filed under: uncultured bacterium
Lineage: Bacteria
Description: bacterial SSU rRNA
Rfam family: Bacterial small subunit ribosomal RNA
Source: RNAcentral
AUUGAACGCUGGCGGCAGGCCUAACACAUGCAAGUCGAGCGGGGUUUUCGGACCUAGCGGCGGACGGGUGAGUAAUGCGUAGGAAGCUACCCGAUAGAGGGGGAUACCAGUUGGAAACGACUGUUAAUACCGCAUAAUGUCUACGGACCAAAGUGUGGGACCUUCGGGCCACAUGCUAUCGGAUGCGCCUACGUGGGAUUAGCUAGUUGGUGAGGUAAUGGCUCACCAAGGCGACGAUCCGUAACUGGUCUGAGAGGAUGAUCAGUCACACUGGAACUGAGACACGGUCCAGACUCCUACGGAGGCAGCAGUGGGGAAUAUUGGACAAUGGGCGAAAGCCUGAUCCAGCCAUGCCGCGUGUGUGAAGAAGGUCUUCGGAUUGUAAAGCACUUUAAGUUGGGUAGGAAGGGUAGUAACCGUAAUAACGUUGCUACUUUGACGUUACCGUACAGAAUAAGCACCGGCCUAACUU